CUACGGAGGGGACUAGCGUUGUUCGGAAUUACUGGGCGUAAAGAGUUCGUAGGCGGACUGAUAAGUAAGAGGUGAAAUCCCAGGGCUCAACCCUGGAACUGCCUUUUAAACUGUCAGUCUAGAGACCGUAAGAGGUUAGGGGAAUACCUAGUGUAGAGGUGAAAUUCGUAGAUAUUAGGUGGAACACCAGUGGCGAAGGCACCUAACUGGUCCGGUACUGACGCUGAGGAACGAAAGCGUGGGGAGCAAACAGGAUUAGAAACCCUAGUAGUCC
RNAcentral lists this ribosomal RNA (274 nucleotides) under uncultured bacterium. RNAcentral describes it as "partial 16S ribosomal RNA". It matches the Rfam family "Bacterial small subunit ribosomal RNA", at positions 523 to 796 of the family's 1533-position model. The record is from RNAcentral.